UUUGUCUGUGAUGUGUACGCCGAGGAACUUAACUUACUACCCUCUCCACUACUGUUCCAUCGAUGUGGAUAGGGGGGUGUUCCCUCUGCUGUUUCAGGUCCAACUAAUGGGAACAUGUCCACCACUAACCUAAUUCCAAGCCCCAAAAUGCAUAAUUCUGAGAAGAUUAACUCAGUCCACUUGGGCUCGACAGUGAGUCGUUUUGGAUGCUUACCCUGCUAUAGAAAACCACAGGAUAUGGCCGACGACCUGGGUGGAGGCGACAAUAUCGACAUGGGCAAUCAGCUACAACUCUUACCCGUGCUUCGGCCCCUCUCCUCCCAGUACAAUGACGACAGCUGCCAGACCAUCCCAGUGCUUCCAUUCACCGCCAUCAUGCUUAUCCCUGGACAGACCCUGCCGCUGCAGCUCUUCAGACUGCAGGAGGUCAGCAUGAUGCGCAACAUCAUCCAGAGAGACCGCACAUUUGCUGUGCUCGCACACAGUGACAGGCGAGGUGCAUGCAGAGUUUGGGACGACAGCUGAAAUCUAUGCUUAUCGGGAGGGGCAGGAGUACAGCAUCAAGACUGUCAAAGUGAAGGUAGUCGGACGGCAGCGGUUCAAGGUCCAUGAGUUCAGAACCCAGGCAGAUGGGAGACUCUGAUGAACAGAGUGAAGAGACAGCUCCAUGAGUGGGACGAGAACCUCAAGGAUGAUUCCCUCCCCACAAACGCUAUAGAUUUCUCCUACAGAGUGGCAGCCUGUUUGACCAUAGACGAUGCCCUCCAGCUGCUGAAGAUAGGCAGUGCUGUGAGCUGGACAUCAUGAGCACACAAAGACAGACAGACACAGAGCCAUAAAUACACAUCACUAAACCUUGCAAUUUAAAGGCCAAUGCAUGAACCAGGCGAGGACUUGUUCAUCUGUCUGACACACACUGUUUGAUAUGUACCCCUACACCCACCACGAAUCCAUCCAGCUGUACCCACUGUACCCCAACUGAUCUGGUCUAAUCUCUUACCCCUACUCCUCCCUGUUGUUCUGUGGCAGACUCCCGUCUCUCCUCUCUUUCCUCUACUCUAUGUGCUAGUGUUAUAUUUAGCCACCGCCUAUUUUAAUUUUACCUUUAUUUAACUAGGCAAGUCAGUUAAGAACAAAUUCUUAUUUUCAAUGACGGCGGUUUAACAGUGGGUUAACUGCCUGUU
This is a long non-coding RNA of Oncorhynchus kisutch (coho salmon), 1184 nucleotides long. RefSeq lists it as uncharacterized. Lineage: Eukaryota; Metazoa; Chordata; Actinopteri; Salmoniformes; Salmonidae. The transcript is spliced from 5 exons. The record is from RefSeq and is a predicted model, not a curated record.